RNAcentral lists this long non-coding RNA (42705 nucleotides) under Linum usitatissimum (flax). RNAcentral describes it as "long non-coding RNA (LUSI_LNC006001)". The record is from RNAcentral. Lineage: Eukaryota; Viridiplantae; Streptophyta; Magnoliopsida; Malpighiales; Linaceae.
CUUUUUUUUUUUUUUUUUUUUUUUUUUUUUUUUUUUUUUUUUUUUUUUUUUUUUUUUUUUUUUUUUUUUUUUUUUUUUUUUUUUUUUUUUUUUUUUUUUUUUUUUUUUUUUUUUUUUUUUUUUUUUUUUUUUUUUUUUUUUUUUUUUUUUUUUUUUUUUUUUUUUUUUUUUUUUUUUUUUUUAUUUUUUUUCUUUUUUUUUUAUUGUCUGUUUUUUUCUUUUAUCCUGUUUUUCUUCCUUUUCAAGAUCUUGAAAAGAGAGAGAAAAUGAGAGAGAGAGAAUGAGAAAGAGAAAACGAGGGAAAGAGAAUGAGAGCAAGAGAGAGAGAGAGGAGGAGAAAUUUUUGGAGUUUUUUUAUUUUUAGUGGCUUUGAUAUUGAAAAUACUAUAUAAAGAAUUUUAGAUGAAAUCAGUCAGUUGAUACAAUUAUUGUUGUUAUGUGCUAUUAUCGUAUGAUAAGCGGGUGGGGCUUUUCUUGUUUUCGUAAACAUCAAGAUUUUAUUGGUUGGGUCUAUGAUUCCAGCCUACAUGAUACUCAAAAGGGCCCUGGUUCAUCUGGAAAUGAAAAGUGCUUUAUGAACGUUUGGAUUGGUGCUUCCUUGACUCGGUUUGGUAACUUCAAUUUCUACCCACCUAUAUCGUGUUAAGUCGGAUCACCGACCUAUUUUCAUGGUUGCGACCAAGCUCAAGAAGUCAAAUCUUCCUCAUACCUUUCGCUUUAUGGCUUCAUGGUUGUCACAUGUUGAGUUUAAGCCUUUUUUUGUCGGAAUGGAAUCGGUCUUUUACCUUUAUUCAUCAGAUGUCCAUUCGAGCUACCAAACUGAAAAAAUGAAAUAAGGAAAUUUUUGGCAACAUCCAAACGAAUAGAAGGAGCUUAUCUUUAAACUUGCUGAUGUUUAAGCUCUCGCAGCUCCUCUACUCAUUCAAGACACCACAAUGGACAUUGCAAGUGACCGGAAUACUCAUUUUUUUCACGUAUCCACCUUCCGUAGGCGUGCUCGGAACCACAUUAUUAAGUGAAGGAUGACUGUGGGGUGUGUAUUCAUUAGGUUUGGGAGUCGGUUAAUUUGGUUAAUAACCAUCGGUUAAUGGUCGGGAAGCGCUUUGAUGAUUGAAAUUAAUUAACCAAAUUAACCGACCGAGCAAAAGCCACGGUUAAUCUUACCGACCGAUAACCGACCAAUCAGUUAAAUGAUCGAUUAUUAACAGACUGACUCUCGGUUAACCGUUGUAACCGGCUCUGACCAAUUUAACUCUCUUCUCAUAUUGCAACAAGAUUCUAGGCUCUGGCUCUAGAUCCGUCGUCGAUUCAAGCCUUGGAGACCAUAGCUUCUCUUCUGGAAACAAUCCGGUGCUCUACAACUUGAUCCUUCGGGACUGGAAGCUUUCCGAGACGGCGUUGUUGCGGAUCAGUAAGGAGAGGAGGAAGCUUCAAGCCUAUGGUGUUGCAGAUCGAAGAAUUGAGAGAGUGGAGGAGGAGAGGAUUGGCCGUGGCGACGAAGGAAGCAUGUGGUGUUGCAGAUCGAAGAAUCGAGAGAGUGGAGGAGGAGAGGAGCGCUUGCGGUGACUCGUCGUGGUCGUCGUCGUGACUGCCGGCGAGAUGCUGAAAUUGAAUCGCUUGGAUUGAUAGAGUUGUCGAGAUGGAUUGAUGGAGUUGUCGAGAUGGAUUGAUGGAGAUGGCUCGGAGUUAACCUAAUUUCAGAAUGAGAGGUUGUGAUGGAGUGGGAGGCUGGGAGGGGAGGGAGCGAUUCUGCGAUUGUGGUGAGCAAAGCUUGAUUUCCUAAUUGGGGACCUUGGUUUUUUUAAUUACCGGUUAACGUUGGUUAACUCGAGUUAACCAACGAUUUUACCCUGCUCCAACAAGUACUCCCAACUGUUCCCCGACCGACCCCUACCUCGGUUAAACCGACACUCUAACCGAGUCGAUCAGUUCAUCUGUUUAACCUAUUAACCGAGACUGAUGGCCCACCCUUAGUAUUCAUCCAGCUUGUUGCUGCAAUUAGUGUCGUAUUGAUAUGGUUGAGAGAGGAUAAAAUAUGCUUGAUUUCAAGUUCUCCAACUUGAAAGGUUUAGCUGUUAAAAAUGUAGAGGUCAUGACUGAGUACUGAUUUCCAGCAAGGAGAAGUUGGAUAUUUGCUUGCGAUAAAAAAGAAUUUGGACAGUCUAUCUUAGGCACAAAAUCUAACGGAUGAGAUGGCAACUUUACUUCAGGGGCCUAUUGGUCAUUUUAAAAUUUUCUUGUUUUUCAGUUUAUUUUUCCAUUCUGUUUAAUAUUGGUUCAAGUAAAAUGAUUUCUUGUAAAUUGGGUCUAUUGAGUAACGUGGGUGGGUAGACUUUAUUGCUCCCAUCGAGCUUGACGUGAUAUUUUCUUCUUCGUUUCUUUAACAUGCAUAAAUUGUAUAUAAUACGAAAGGUUGGAAAUAUAUGUGAAGCUCGAGGUUUAUUAUAUAUGUUUCGAGGUUUAUUAUAUAUGUUGAACCUUUUUGCCAAUUGGUUAUUUUUAUCAUGUAGUGCCUUAUCAAGUAAAGGGAAUGGUUGUUUUUAUCUACUGUCACUAGCCAACUUUCUUUCUCAUGUGAUCAAUUAUUUGAUCACGCAUGAAUGACUACAGUACACAAAAGAUAGAAAUAUUAUAAAAACAAAAAACAAAUAUUAAAAAAAAAUACCUAAAAAGCAGGUACAUAACAACAAAAACAAUAACCGUAAAUAUCAAGUACAUGAAAGCGGAUGCUCAAAAUAAGCACGCACACAUUAAAAACUUUGGUACAUACAAGGCAAGAAAAUCGAGAACAUAUUGGAACUCGAGUACCGGAAUUGGUACGGUAUUAAGUACAACGUGAAGAAAUAUCAAGUACAUUAAAAAGCGAGUAUAUAACAAUAGAAAUAAGUACACGAAAACAACUCAGAGAAAUGAUAAUUUGAUUGCCAAAAUUGAGUAUGAUAAAGUAAAAUGCAAGCACGUAGUACAUGAAACAAAUAUGAGUAAGAGUACAUAAAUUUUUUAGUACAAUACAAGACAAAAACUCAAAUACAUAUAAAAACUGGACACUAAAAAAAAUAAUUAAUUAUUCACAAUUUUAAAUAAUAAUAGUCACGAUUUUUAUCAUGAUUAACAGAAGCUAGUCACGAAAAUAAAUCCGUAACUAACCUAACCGAUGCUAGAUGAACUUGUCACGAAUCUGAAUAACCUGUAACUAAGUUGUCACCGAAAUUUUCCGUGACCAACUCAUCACGGAAGAAACCGUGAACAUAUGUGUUUUUGUUUUUGUUUUUUAAAUUAGUGGCACGGAGCCAUAUGCUGUGAUAAUUGAUUUAUUAAUAAAUUAAUCCCACAUCUCCGUGGCUACUAUAUCACCAGAAUUUCCAGAUUCCGGCAACCACAAUUUCCAGAAUCCGGCAAUAAGAUAGAGUUGAUAAUUGCUUUUUUAUUAGAGUAAAAUGUUCUACAUCUAUACAUUAUGAUACCCAUAUCAAAAUUCCAGAAUCCCAAAAUUGAACAUAACGUCAACGAAAGGCACCAUGCAACAAUGGUGACACUAAGGGUUACAACAACCAGCAAAACCGAAACACAGACUGGAAAUGCUACCAAGAGAAGGAUGAGACUAGAUGAUGAGAUUGAGAUUGAGAGAAGAAAAAUGAUAGUAAGAAAUUUUGUUUUCGAGAGAGAUCAAAUGAAGAUGAGAUCUACUUCUAAUUUAAUAUAAUGGAAAUGGAGAUAUGGUUGUUUAAUGGCAAAGAGAGAAGAAAGGAAUAGCCCAUUAAACGAGGAUAGAGUCUGCAUCAUUUCUUUUUUCGACCUUUUCCCACUAAAAUGCUAAUUUUAAAAUUAUAAAUAAAAGUUGGUCACGGUUCCAACAUUUACCGUGAGUAGUUGGUCGCGGUAUUCAACAAUCCAUGACUAGUUAUGGAUUUUUUUUUAUCUAUAAGUAGUUAGUCAUGGUUUUUAAAGCCGUGAUUAAUAAAUCGUGAUUAAUCGUUGAUUUUUUUUGUAGUGCGAGUAUGAGUAUUGAGUAAAACGUCAUGUACAAAAACAAGUACAUCAAAAGCGAGUACAUAAUUAUCAAAACAAGUACUAAAACGAGAGGAAAAGUACAUAAAAAGCGAGUAUAUAAUAAUAGAAACAAGUGCAGUAAAAAUCAAGUGCAUGAAAGGAAAACGAAACUCAAACUAAACACUAAUACAAAAAAAACUUUAGUACGCAAAUAAGUAAAUACAAGAAAAUUAACAUACACAAACGAAUACAUAAGAGUAUAGUGUUUAAACAAAGCGAUUAUACGGAUCAAUACGAUGUUGAGUACAAAACAACAACUUGAGGCUUUAUCCCUCAUUUUUAGAUGAUUUUGUACUAAGUUCUUAUAUGUAUUAGUUUUUAUUAAUGUAAUCCCUCGUGUACUUUGUCUUUGGAUUUAUUUUUAUGCCAUAUCUAUUUAUUUACGCAUUUGUGUAUACUUAUAUUUUUAGAACUUUAUACUCAAAUCAAUUAAUCAAACAAUAAAACUAUUUUCUCUUUACACGAACCAACAUAAUAACCCAUCACCCCAUACAGGGUUGUGAAGGAGGUGCAGUGACCAGAAUUUUCUAGUUGUUGCUUUUCUAUAGUUUGAUAAGGGUAAGCAUCUUGUUCUAGAAUAUAUGUUGUUAGGUUAUAACAAUGCAUCUAGUUGAGCAUGAUUCUUUGGUCAAGUGUUACUGGGAUUCUUUUUGUUCCACAUCAAUGCUCGGAGGUCGAAGAGGCAACGAGGGUGACGAAGAAAUCGGCAUCACCACGUGAGAGAAGAUGAAGAAGAGGUCAGAGAGUGGAGCCGGUGGAAAAGAUAUACUAGAAGAGGUACUUAAAGUUACUUGUACGACAAAACUGCCCUUAUUCAAUUGGACAACCCCUAGAUUAAAAUUUAAAAAUGAACGGACGCGAUUCGUUUGCGGCCAGCAAACACAUAAUAUCAUGGCUGCCUAUCCGGACUCGUCAUAACUGGCGUCAACAUUACGUAGUGUUGUCAAAAAUUAAAAAGGGGAAUAUAUAAUAAUAAUAAUAACAGACGUAAUCUUGUGUAUAUAAUGAUAUUAAAACGUUUUUCAAUCGACAAAGCCAAGUCUGCGGGAGGAACAGCUAAUGGACGAACAGCCUAAGCAUAAGCCGCCUUCUUCGUAUUCUUCAGAUUCUCUGAAUCUCUACCCUUUUUUUUUGUUACGCGGAUUCCCUUCCCUCGUCUGCAAACAAAAAGCUCUUCGUUGACUUUUUAGCAGGCUUUUUUAAAAAACCUUAAUUGAAAAAAUUUGUACAUGGUUGUUGCCUUUGUUGGCGUCAGCAUGACCCAAUGCUGUUGUCAUGUUCAUGAUUGCUCCAACUCACCUGGCUGCGCAUCUGCCUUCUGACCUGACCUGCCCUCCUCCUUUUUUUUAAAUUAUGUUUCCCCAAAAUUAAAUUUAAAUCGUUACAAAAUUGGUCUCUCCUUCUCCUAUAUAUAACGUGGAAGAGCUCCUGCCAAAAAAGUCAUUCAAACUCAAAGCAGAUAAAUUAUCAAAAUAAAAAAGAAAACCCCAGUGCUCUGCCUGCCGUUAAGAAAUUAGUUUAUUGGGUUUGUUGUGUUUAUGAAAGCUGUGUUCCAGAGACUGAUAUCGUCAAGCACCCAGAUUGGCUGUAGGAAGAAAGUUGCAUCUUUUCCAUUAAUCAGAAGCGCUAAUAUGUCUGAAUCCUCUGCCUUUGAUUCUCCGAGAUUGGUGACCAAGAAGGUCCUUGCUAAGCUUCAGCGUGAAGGGGAUGGUGCUUCUGUCAGGAGAAGCAUUGGAAGGUAUAAUAUAAUAUAUCAUGGAUGGAUGGAUGGAUAUACAAUUUUCUUCUUGUCAAAAUUGAAUUAACUGUUUUCGUUUCUGUGGUGAAAUUGAAUGAUUGAAUGUUGAAUUAUUUUGGUUCAGGAGUGAGCUCAGGUCUCUGGACCCUUUCCUCAUGUUGGAUGAGUUUUCAGGUCUGCUUUGCUUAAUUACUUGAAACCAAAUUCCUUGAUAUUUUCUAGAAUUAGGAUGAUGAUGGAUGAUGGAUGGUAUUUAAUUUGUUGUUGCAAAUUGCAAUGCAUGAAGUCUCAGCUCCUGCUGGAUUUCCUGAUCAUCCACACAGAGGUUUUGAGACUGUUACAUACAUGCUGGAGGUACAGACAGUACUGGAGUUAAUUAUUUAUUAUGAAUUGAAGGCUGUUUUUUGUCCUUGGUAGUCUAUUUAUUGAUGUCUGUGAAAUUCGUGGGUGGCACUGGCAGGGAUCAUUCACUCAUCAAGAUUUUUCUGGGCAUAGAGGGACUAUUCAUGCCGGGGAUGUUCAAGUAAAAUAAUUCACUCAAUUACAAUACUACGACGUUUACUUAAUUAGCUAGCUUUACUUGAUCAAAGUCAAAAACUCUUUCUUUUUUUAAAGUAAACAACAACAACAACUUGUGUGUUUUCCUGUUGGGCAGUGGAUGACAGCAGGUAGAGGGAUAGUCCAUUCAGAAAUGCCUGCAGGAGAAGGAGUCCAGAGAGGCCUUCAGCUUUGGAUAAACCUCUCUUCUCAACAUAAAAUGUAUGUUUUUAUUUCCUUUUUUGUUUGUACUUUCCAACUUCACCAUUCCAACAGUUUGUAAUAUGGAACCAACAGGAUUGAGCCAAGGUAUCAGGAACUUCUGAGGCAGGACAUCAAAAGAGCAGAGAAAGACGGGGUUGAAGUCCGAAUCAUAGCAGGGGAAUCAAUGGAAAUCGAGUCUCCAGUUUAUACAAGGACCCCAACAAUGUACCUUGAUUUCACACUGCAACCAAGGUCCCAAAUGCACCAGCCCAUUCCAGAAUUAUGGAACGCAUUCAUUUACGUCAUUGAAGGUGAGGGAGUGUUUGGGAUCCCAAACUCCUCACCAGUUGAAGCACAUCAUACACUCGUUCUAGGCCCUGGUGAAGGAAUGAGCGCCUGGAACAACUCCUCUUCCAAACCCUUGAGGUUUGUCUUGAUUGCAGGCCAGCCACUUAACCAACCAGUGGUGCAGCAUGGUCCUUUUGUCAUGAACACAGAAUCUGAAAUCCACCAAGCAAUUGAAGAUUACCACUACUCCAAAAAUGGGUUUGAAAUGGCGCAGUAUUGGAGUUCCCAAUAGGGAACAAGUAAGUGCUUGGAUCACUCAAAACCAAAUCUCCACAUUCCCUCUCAACUUUGAAGAAGAAAAGAGUAAAGAAUAAAAAUACACAUCCACAAACACUAAAGGCCACACGCAUAUGUGAGUGAUACUCAUUUGUGUUCCAUCAUGUAUUAAUUUAGCUUUUAUCCUCUUCCAACCUUUUACUAUUCCAAAUCAAAAGGUUGAUUAUUGCAUUGUCACACAAAACAAUGAUAAUAAAAAUACUCAAUUCAUAUAAUCCUUAGAAUUAAUUCUUUUCAUAACUAUAGUAGAUGUUUGAACAAGUGAGAACAAAAUAUAAGCUUAAUCUUAAUAGUAAUAUCAACGGAUAAUAGCACUGUGUGUCACUUAAUUAUUACCCAUGUCGCACAUAAACUACUUAACUUUCUACAUUGCACAUAAAGCCACUUAACUUUGCUUAUGCUUGCAACAUCCAAAUUUUCAUUCAAUUUAUGGAUAGACUGAUCGAAUUGAUGAGUUCUUAUUCGAGAUCUUCUGUAUGAAUAACCUCCAACACAUUAAAGAGAACAAUAAUUUAUAAGAACUGACAGAAUAACUUAUUACUUGUUUACAGAAAAGAAUGAUAAAAUAAAAAGGCAAGAAUAGAUUAUAAUCAUGCCUUGGACACUGCUUUCGAAAAAAUAUUUCCCGAAUUUAGAACACCAAUACAACUAAAGGUUAAUCACAAUAUUCACUCAAACUCUAGUGUAGGGCUUGAAUGUUGGAACUUGGAAACUUAUGCUAUUUUGAUUCCGAUUUUGAGAGUGAAAACAAAGUUUUCUGCCCAUAUUAAUCAACUAGGAUUUCCCUUUUUAAAGAGAACGCAUCCACUAACCAACAUCAAAUCCAGAUUCUCCUUUCUGAUGAUCAUCAAUGAUAAGCAGAUAUGGGGAAGGUGGAGUUGAGCUCCCGAUUUCUAGGAAGCCAACCAAAUACUUCUGUUAAGCAUAAGUCUUGAGUAUAUGCGGUAUGUAACUGAUCAUUACUGUUACUUCAAGUGGUUAGAUAAUGGUUACAUCAUCUUGCUGUUGUCCGUUGAUGACAUGUUGAUAGCAAGUUCUAUUGUAAAAGAAGUAAACAAGUUGAAGAAACAGUUAUCUAACAGUUUACUAUUAAGAAUAUAGGAGACGCUAAACAGAUUUUGAGUAUGUGCAUUGAUCAUGAUAGGCAAGUAGGAAAGUUUUAUCUUUCGCAAGUUGAAUAUAUCAAGAAAGUCUUGAAGAGGUUCAAAAUGCAGGAUGCAAAACUAGUAAAGAUUCCUUUGGGUGGCUAUUUCAAGCUAUUUGAGAAGGAUAUGCCUAAUAAUGAUCCAGAACGUGCCCAAAUGCACGAAACACCAUACAUUUUUGUAAUUGAUAGCUUGAUGUAUGGAAUGGUGUGCACAAUACCAGAAAUUGCACAUGUAGUGGGAGUUGUCAAUAGAUUCAUGGGAAAUCGGGGGGAAGCGAUUAAGUACUCCUGAGAUAGUUGAAGAUUACUACUAAAAGGGUCUUGGGCUUUGAGGGCAAAGUAAUGUAGUUAGAAGGAUUUGUCAUCAAGUGACCUUGAUAGAAGAAGAUGUACAACAUGGUAUAUUUUUACUCUUUGAGGUACCAUGGUUUCUUGGGCUUUUAAGUUGCACUGUCUAACACUCAAGCUAAAUAUGUUGCGGUAACGAAGGCCAGCAAAGAGAUGGUAUGGUUUUAGAAUUUCUUUGGUGAAUUGGGGAAGAAGAAAGAGGAUAGCAUAUUGUACAUUAGUCUUAUACACUUGCAAAAAAUUCAGCAUUUCAUUCAAAAUCGAAGCUCAUAUUGAGUUGAUGUAUCACUUUAUGGGUUGAUCUCUUGGAAAGGAAGAUCUUACGGCUUAUGAAGAUUCUAGGAAGUGAGAAUCCUAUGGAUAUGCCGACUAAGGUUGUAAAGUUGGAGAAGUUGACACUGUGUAUGACUUUAACUGGUUUUGUAACUGAAGUUGAAGGUCAGAUGCUGCUUGUAGUAGGAAGACGUUGAACAUGGAGAACCAAUGAGAGGAGUAUGUCUUCAGGUGGGAGAUUGUUGGGUUAUGGUGCCUAAGAAACUGAAGGCUUGGUCCAGUUAGUUUGUUUAGUUAGAUAAAAAUUAAGAUUAAUCUUGUCUAUUCUAUAUAGGAUUAGAAUUAAUAUGGUAGCUCCCUAUAAAUAAUCUAUAUUCAUAUCAUUGUAAUCUGUAUCACAACAAUAGUAGUCGAAAUCCUAACUUGGUUUGUAAAAAAAGAAAUUCUAGCGUGGUAGCGCCCUAGACAUACUCUUCUCGUGAAGAGGAACUAGGUUCUUAAUUUUUCAGUUUAUGAUUGCGUUUCAUUUUUUACAGGAACGACCAGAUCCAGCUCAGAAACUUCCUCAAGAUGGCGACGUUGAAGAAGCUCUGUCUCGCUAACGCCUAACAAUGGCUUCUCUAGACUGAUUCAGACUGUCCUCACCGCUGGAAAAGGAGAUUAGAUAGAAAUCCAUCUUUUAUUCCUCUUCAUUGUUUUUAUGACAAUUUCUUCUUUUCUUUUAUAAUAGAGAACUAUUUAUCACUUUUGUUGGACAUUUCUUGUUUGUUUCCCUCAAGAACUAAUAAUUUUGGUCAAUGGGUGACCACUGAUGAUGUUGAUUCUAUAAGCUUUAGUAUUUAGUCAAAUUCUUGAGUUUUUUUCAACUAGAAAAAAAAAGAAGAGAGGUUACAGUUUCAAUUAUUAAGUUUGAAGAAUUAAAGAAAAAAAACUAGACUACAGAUAUGAAAAGGUAAUUCUGAUAAUUUUUAUUGAUGAAUUUUUUUUUUGUAAUGAGUAAGAUAAUUUUUUAGGUUUUAUAAAUGGGUUUUUGGUUAAAAAUCUCAUUUAGAUAGAGUUUUUGAUGGGUAAUUAUGAAAUUUGACAUAAAGGGUACAUGAUUAAAAAGGUGGGAAAGGAAGAUGCGAAAAGAAGGUAAGAAGGAAUCAAUUCAUGGCAAAAAAGAAAAAUAAAUAAGAGGGAAGAAAGAAGACAUAUAUUGAUGGGAGGCGGAGGUGGGAUAGGGAGGUGAGAGAAAGAUGUAACAACAAAGAAGGGUUUAGCGAAAGGUGNNNNNNNNNNNNNNNNNNNNNNNNNNNNNNNNNNNNNNNNNNNNNNNNNNNNNNNNNNNNNNNNNNNNNNNNNNNNNNNNNNNNNNNNNNNNNNNNNNNNNNNNNNNNNNNNNNNNNNNNNNNNNNNNNNNNNNNNNNNNNNNNNNNNNNNNNNNNNNNNNNNNNNNNNNNNNNNNNNNNNNNNNNNNNNNNNNNNNNNNNNNNNNNNNNNNNNNNNNNNNNNNNNNNNNNNNNNNNNNNNNNNNNNNNNNNNNNNNNNNNNNNNNNNNNNNNNNNNNNNNNNNNNNNNNNNNNNNNNNNNNNNNNNNNNNNNNNNNNNNNNNNNNNNNNNNNNNNNNNNNNNNNNNNNNNNNNNNNNNNNNNNNNNNNNNNNNNNNNNNNNNNNNNNNNNNNNNNNNNNNNNNNNNNNNNNNNNNNNNNNNNNNNNNNNNNNNNNNNNNNNNNNNNNNNNNNNNNNNNNNNNNNNNNNNNNNNNNNNNNNNNNNNNNNNNNNNNNNNNNNNNNNNNNNNNNNNNNNNNNNNNNNNNNNNNNNNNNNNNNNNNNNNNNNNNNNNNNNNNNNNNNNNNNNNNNNNNNNNNNNNNNNNNNNNNNNNNNNNNNNNNNNNNNNNNNNNNNNNNNNNNNNNNNNNNNNNNNNNNNNNNNNNNNNNNNNNNNNNNNNNNNNNNNNNNNNNNNNNNNNNNNNNNNNNNNNNNNNNNNNNNNNNNNNNNNNNNNNNNNNNNNNNNNNNNNNNNNNNNNNNNNNNNNNNNNNNNNNNNNNNNNNNNNNNNNNNNNNNNNNNNNNNNNNNNNNNNNNNNNNNNNNNNNNNAUGGGUUUGUGGUUAAAAAUCUCAUUUAGAUAGAGUUUUUGAUGGGUAAUUAUGAAAUUUGACAUAAAGGGUACAUGAUUAAAAAGGUGGGAAAGGAAGAUGCGAAAAGAAGGUAAGAAGGAAUCAAUUCAUGGCAAAAAAGAAAAAUAAAUAAGAGGGAAGAAAGAAGACAUAUAUUGAUGGGAGGCGGAGGUGGGAUAGGGAGGUGAGAGAAAGAUGUAACAACAAAGAAGGGUUUAGCGAAAGGUGAUAUAAACAAAAUUAAUUUUGUAAGAAAAUAUUUUUUUUAAUGCCAUGUCAACUAGUUUGUAACUUUUAGUGUCCAUGUCAACAAACAAAAUUUUAUAAAGUUACCAAAAUUCAAAAUUUGUGUUACGAAAAGUAUUUCUAAUAGAUUGUGCCAUUUUCGGUAAAGGCUUAAUAGGUUGUGCAUUUAAGAAAAAAAAUAUUAUUGUGUUUCUACAAUUAACAUCAAUUAUCACCAAACCAUUAAAUACUAAAAACCAAUUAAGAUAUAGUCAUGUUACAAAAAAUGACUCUUGUUAUGAUUUUUUUGUUUAUGCAAUGAUAGGAUGAGAUUAAAAGGUUAAUUUCUUUUUCGACAAAACUUGUAAAAUAUUAUUAAACUCAAUUAGAUAUAAUAUCAUCUACAGUUGGUCAAUCAAAAAAAUUGAGGGUCUAUCCACCGAAACAAUCGUGGAGUUCCAAUGAGUCUGAUUAUACGCCAUAACAUGGGUAAGCUUGUUAACUUAUCUCCGGCCAUGACGCCAAUUACCACAAUCAAACUUUGCCAAAAGGCAACGAAUUAUGGACUAAAAUCCAUGUUCGGUAUGAUGAUCUUCCACAUGAUGCAAAGUCUCAACCAUGAUCAAGCUAUCACUUUCAAGAACCACAUUAGGAUACCUAUGUUGCAAGGCCAAUUGUUAGCAAAAUCUUGCCUCGACCGCCUCAGUUAAAGUAGGCUCAUAGCAACCCUACAAUUUCAACAUAUCCGCCAUUAAGUAAUGCCGAACGCCAUCCCAGAUAACCACCCCAAUACCCAUUCUGGAUCCUGUAAUGAUAGUUGCGUUUAAGGUAGUGAAACUGGUGAGUCAACAUGGGAUCGAAAAGGGACCUAGAAUCGUAAUCGUAAAAUCAAAUCGCAAAAUCAUAAAAUUUCACGGUUCUUCAAUAAUACUAAAUAUUCAGAAAUUCACCUUAGCAUAAAGACGUAAGUUCAUUAUCCAAUCUAAAAUUAAAAAUAAAAUCUCAAAUUCACCUUAAUAGGUUCUUCAGUUGCACUACUUUGAGCUGAUUUUCGAGUCUAGGAGACCGGAGACAAAAUCUGUGAACAAAAUUGUACAAUCUUACAACAAAAAACAAAAUACCUUCGAACAAAGAACCUAAACACCAAAAAUCCAAAACUAAUCUAACAAAAACAGAAUUAGAGAAAGGAAUGGGAUGAUGAGCAAAAUCAUGGAAUGGGAUGAUGAAGAAUCAUGGAAUCAAGGAAACAGAGAUACCUUCGAGCCGUAGGAGUGGCUGGAGCGAUGGGGACGACCAAAGAGGCUAUGACGAGGACCAUUGACUCCUGGUUCUGGUCUUCUAGACUUCUGGGGGACGACCGACGGGGGAGACGACAAGAGAGAAGACUGAGGAUCGAGCAGAGAUCGAACGAGCAAUCGACGACUUGCACAAUUUUUUUCAGAAGAUAAAUGAAUUUAAGGUUCGAUUUUUUGCCCAAAAUUGAACUCGGAUUUCCGUUUCGGUUCGAACCGAAGCAUAAAAACCAGCGGUCAGCACAGAGUAGUGGACUCGUGAAUCGUUGUAAACUCGUUCGAUUCCACGAUUUUCACGAUUUUGCGAGCGAUUUCAUGCCAUUAUAAGCCAUUUUGAUUGCGCGUGAAAUCUGACUCGACGGACCUAACAAAACUCGUAAAAUCGUCGAUUCCACUUCCUUCGUUGUGUAUGUACUGAUAUGGGGUUCCUGGUUUAGUGGUUGAACCGGGGUUGGACCGUUUUUAAACCGGGUCGGCCAUUUUAAAUAUUACAUAAAGUUAAAUCGGACCGAAAAAAUAUUGGAUUGAACGAAAUCAAACUGACAGUACAAAUAGUCAAAUUUUGAGAUUUAACCUUUGAAAAUUGAACAAUUUUAAAAAAUUUAUGUACAUUAUGAUGUUAUUCUUUUUUAAGUUUAUGUAAUAUAAUGAUAUUAUCUAUAGUUGAAGUCUUCCACACAUAUAUAUCUAGAAUGCUAAAGAAACCCUAAUGGAUCUUUCAAUCUUUCUUUAAUUGGGCUCCAACUACUCAAUACCCUCUCUCACACUUUUUUUCUCUAUAGAGAAACUCUCUCCCUUUUUCAUCAGAUUUUUUUCUCCUUGUAAUCUAAUCUUAUUUUUCUAAUAUUUUCAUUCUAUUUCUUCCCUAUUUGUCUCUUUUACUUUUUUCUUUUUGGAAGGUUAUUAGAAAAAGAGGACCACUAAAUAAUUCCGUCGACGUCCAGCAAUAGGGUUUUCCAAUUUUUUCACAGAUGGAUCCAUGUUUCCAAAGUUCUUUUGUUUUUUUUUCUGAUCUGAUAGUUGGUUCUUUAACUAGUUGAAUUAUCUGGUUUUCCGGGGAAAUCGGGUCAAUCCUCAGUUUUGUUCAUUCUCCUCAACCGCUAACUCAGUAUUGAUCAAAUGAUCGGUUCACAGUCGGACCGGCCGGGCUGAUAUGGUUUUGCUAACAUUGAUCUUAGUAGAGCCGACUAGAGGCCAUUCCAACCGAGCCACAAUGGCCUCAUACGAAAAACUCCUAGUUACCCUGAGUUCUUGAUAAUAAAUAAGAAUUGGAGUGCUUGUGCUAUGAUAUCACACUCCAAUUAGUGAAACUCAUUAAGCAUACACACAUUCCUUUCUUUCCAUCAGAAUCACAUAAGCAUUACCCAUCUUUCCAACUCCAAAUUCAAAACUUUGCGGUUGCUAAGUGAGAACCAAUCGCAUCAGUCAUUAGAAUCAUCAAAAUCAACCAGUGAUCAUGUUUAGAGUUACCUCAAAUCCGCCAAGUCCAUUGGCAAUCUCGGAAAUAGUGAAUUUGCAGGCAACCUGCAAAAUGGGCAUAUAUCACCAUGUCGAGGAUUAUGCUUAUACAUAUUAUACCUGUAGGUAAAAUUUACGAUGAAAUUUUCAUAAGAACUGCUCACCUUCGACGGAAUCUACAAUGACCAAGAACAAUUCCAAACAUCCGAGUUGCAAUUUGGAUUAAGACCCACUAAAAGAAAACCGUGUCCAUUAUUACGGAUAAAACCGGCCGUUGUCACUGAUAUUUCCAUGUCCCUGCCUCGUUGUCGCGGGAAAAUCAUCCGCGACAACGGGCGCCUUCAUAAUGAGGGGUGNNNNNNNNNNNNNNNNNNNNNNNNNNNNNNNNNNNNNNNNNNNNNNNNNNNNNNNNNNNNNNNNNNNNNNNNACGGCCGCCUUCAUAAUGAGGGUUGUGGGGACUAAACUAUCCGCGAAAAAUAGGGUUGGCGCGAACCCGUUAUGACCGGUUUGGUUCAAAUAGUUAGGUUGAAAGGCAUUUUAACAAGUUUAUCCGCAAAAACGGCAAGAGAUAUCCGCGACAAUGGCUAACAACAUUUGUUUUGCCGUCAUAACGGUUCCCCUAACGACGUUGAGUUUAUCCACGGCCAAGGUUGACAUUGUUAGUUUCUCCAUCCUACCCGUAAUGGUUGUUGUGCCAAAUACUAGGCCAUAAUAUCUGCGACAACAGCUCAAGUACUGCCUAAAAUUUUGUUAUUUUUGCUUGUUUCGUCCACUGUGGGCGCCUAAAAUAAAAGUUUAUAUAUGCACUAUUCUACACAUAACACAAUAUAUACCAAUAUCAUUAGCAUAACGAUAACACAUAUGAUCAUCCAAGAGUUAAUACUAUAACAUAAUCCAUAGAUCUACUCCAACAUAAUUCCUUGAUUUUUUACCUAACUAAAGUCAUUAGUUCACUAGACUACAUCACUAUCAACCUAGAUAUAACUACACUAGAGACUCGUCAUCCUCAUCCUCGUCAUUAUGACCAAGAUCCUUAUUAGCUCAAGUAUACAAAAGAAGAUAUAUAAAAUUGAAAUUAGGUUAAAACACAUAAAAUUAAGUAACAUGAACUUUAUAACAUAUAAAGAUUACUAAUAAUUUACCCGCCACAUCGUAGUCGUAGUUCUGUUGGAUGUGGUUAUAUUAUAUUAACCGCUACAAUCGUCGUUACGGAUCAUUAUCCGUGUCCGACGAUGACCUAACCGUGACACCCGUUAUCGCGGAUAUUAUCCCCCAUAACUAAUCUACGUCAGACAUCAAAUUUUGUUGUAGUGGCCAAGCUAUUCUUUAAAGCUAGUCAGCCAGUUUUAAUACCCCUAUUUUUUCGAAUAAACAGCUUUACUACUUGAAAUCCAAAUAAGCAUUCCGAUUCUUGAACAUCGCAAUGAAUAAUUUGCACGAUAGAAGUUGAUAUAGUUGACCAAAAACAGCUUUCAAUAAGAGCAGUAUUCUACUGAUAAGUCGUUCGAUUAACCAACUCACGAACUGUAGCAUCAACAUCAAACCUCAUCGGCGUAGAGGUCACAAAAUUACCGGGUACUAACGGAAGCCAUCCGUCUCCCCAAAUUCUAACGGACAUACAAUUUCCCACCCACCACCCAAGGCCACUCCAUACAAAACAUUGAGCACCAAAAAGGCUAUGCCAUAUAAAGCUAAACCCAACUCAGCUUUAAAGACAUAAUAGAAUUUUUAAAAUACUUAGCUUUCAUAAUUCUUACAAUAAGGGAAGAUGCUCUUGAGUGUAAGUUCCAAAGAUGUUUAGCAAGUAAAGUAAUGUUAAAGCCUAAAAAAUCACAUAAUCCCAUCCUAGCUUCGGAUUUCAAACUCAAUAGAUAUUCUUGACAAAAUGAGGGAUGAGCACUGGGUCGGGUCACCCAUCAAAACCCACCCGCCUAUAAUCACUCUCUACCACUACUACCCUUUUCCCCAUCACCAUAAAACUUUGCAUGCUUGUUUGUGUGUUUUUGUAGUUUUUUUGUGUGUUUUAUGUCGCUUUUCAUCGUUUGAGUAGAGAGAGAGAGGGAGAGAGAGAGGGAGAGAGAGAGAGGGAGAGAGAGUAUUUCAAGGGUUGCAUGUCAUACCAAUGAUUAAGAAUGCAUGAUAGAAGGUCUCGAUUCAAAUUAGGGUUCGGUCGGUGUCUGAUCGAAGGACGAAUGAUGCUUGCAUUAUUUUAUUUUUACUGAAAAAUUGGGCUUCUGGAGCAGCCUUUAGAUCAAUCUCAAGGUGUGUGGCUUUGCAUAGUGUGUGUCGUUUCCUUAAGUUUCUCUCGAUAGAAAAUCGAGUUUAUGGCGUGUGAUCCCACAUGCCAUGUGACUGAUUUUUGACAAAACGAACCGACCAAAGAACAACCAAAAACCCAACCGGCUCAAACCGUAAUGAACCAGAUUGAUUUUCAAACCGAUUUUCAACCAAAUCAAACUGAGUUUGACCAGACGCAUUGACCCUUCGUUGACCGGCCGUUGCCCCCGUUGACCGGUCACCAUGGAAGAAAAAACAUGGCAGUUUAGUAGUAUUUUGGGCAUAACAUUUUGCUCGGGAGUCUGAUUGACACAAGGUCAGUGACGUUGGAAACUUGUUCAGUUGCCUACAACUUUGAUGUCAUGAUGUGGCCUAAAUCCAUGCAGUUUGUGCUCAUUUUUCUUGGUUUGGAUUGAUGGAAUUUGAGAAAGUUUGAAUUGUGGUCUUGUUUGGUUUGAUGAUUUGGUGCGAUCGUGAUCAAUUUCUUGAUAGUAUUAUAGUGAUAUGUUCAUUGCAAAUGCUAACGUUUGGGAUGGUUGUCCAAAAUGGAUAAUUCUAGCUUUGCAAUGUGAAGAUUGCUGGAUGUUGAGACGUGAUCACUUUGUCACUCUUGUAUCGAUGGCAUGUUGUUGAUUUUCAUGAGAACUUGGAAUGGCAUCAUGAUGCUUCAAAGUGUGGUUGAACGUAGGUUGUUACUAGGCCUGAGAGUCGGUUAAUUUGGUUACUAACCAUCUGCUUAAUGUUCGGGGAAAAUGAUUUGGAGAUUAAAGUUGGUUAAUCGGUUUAACUGACCGACCAUAUGUAAUGGUUAAAAAGCCGACCAAUAACUGAUAAAUCGGUUAAAUAACCAAUUAUUAACCAACAGAUUAGUCGGUUAAUCCUAUGAACUGACUUUGAUUGAUUGACCGACUAUACCGACUUAACCUAACAAGAUCUGAAUCUCCAUGCUCAUCUCUGCCAUCGAGUGAGCCACGUUCUGCUCAUGAUAACCGUUCGUCCAAGCAUUCAUACUCUACUAAGAAAGCUUGCCAUGGCCGCCACUCUGAACACCGGUCAAAGAACUGAAUACUUGUUCCAAGAUCCGAACUUCCAGAACCGUCUCCAAUCCAUCUUCCCAAUUGUAGUUUGGACAAAGUUUCCUCAUCUGAAUUUUUACUCAAUCACACAACUACAACCUACACGACAACCAUAAUCAAUAGAGUGGAGGGGGAUAGGAUGAAACAGAGGACUGGUUGAAAUUAUAUGGGCCUAUGUUGCAUCCUCAAUAGCUCGUCGUCGCCAAGCCUCACUGAGCCGUCCCCGAGAGAGGAAGAGACGUAGAGUCUAGAGAUCGUGCUUUACUAGUGCUCAACACUCAUGGAGCCGUCACUGAGAGAGGAACAUAAUCCCUAAUGAAUCGUGAAAUCGAGAAUGAACGGGGAUAAGUGAAUAUGUUUGUGUGUGUGUGAGUUUGACCUAAAAAUGGGGGGAUUGGGAAUACGACGUAGACAUUUGGGUUCAGACUUGGGGUUCUUUUGACCGAUUAAUGUUGGUUAACACAAGUUAACUGACGGGUUUUAACCGAUUCACCGUUUAACUGAAGUCAGUUUUUCUCUUUGACCGUCCCCCAACCAACCUGUAGCUCGAUUAAACCUUCCUCUAACUUAUUCGGUCGGUUAAUCAAUUUUAAACGAUUAACCGAAACUGAAUUCCUACCCUUAGUUGUUACUAGGUGCUUUUGUUGCUCCCAAUUGAUGAUUUGUGAUUAUUUCCAUGCUCAUUUAAUUUGCUUCCAUUGCUCAUAUUUUGUCCUACCAUUACCCUUGAUGACUCAUUGGUUACUCACUGUUUUGGUAAAUGGUUCAAAGAAGCAUGAGGCAUAUUACUAGUCCAUUUGUUCCUGUAAUGAUAUAUCUUUGACCUCACCUUUUGGUAUAACUUGAAUGAUGCAUACGUUGUCACUUCAUGCUUUGCAUACACUCUUUAUGCUCGUUCUUGUUCAUUGGACUUGGUCAACAUUUGUGAGGAUUUCUUUGUGGCAAUUGAUGAUAAAUGAGUUAAGGUGGUCCCAUAGCUUUUGCUUACCCUUGUCUUACUAAUUUAUGAAUUAUAGGAUGCUCUUGUUUAGGAUUGCUAGUUAGUCUUGCUUGAGAAUAACUAGUUAUCUUCUUCAUUGGUUUUGCCUUUCUUUUACAUCUUGCCUAUGCCAUGUCUACUUAUGAGCUAUUUAUUGCCUAUCGUUGCCUAAUUCGAUUGGAUGCUUAUUGAGGUGGUUCCUUAGUGGCCGUAGGAUUAUGGGUUGACACCUCUACAUGCUUGAUGUGUAUGAUUAUUCUCCAUUUCGAAAUUUUCAAUGAUACUUUAAAGUCAAAUUUGAAUGCUCUUUACAAAUGUGUCAAUUUUGGCACAGUUUUCAAGGAUUCAUCAUUUAGUGUUUAUAAUUCAUUUUCGUUUUAAAUUUUCGUUUCCCACAUUUACUUUUCAUGUUUUGUUGCUUUUAUUGUUUUAAAUUUUAUUAUUUUUAUUUUAAUAGGCUUACUUUCCUUGUAUAUCCCCAAUUGUAACUUGGUAUCCGUAUUCUCAACUAAAUCAACAAAUGACACCAAAUAACUUAAAAUUGAGAACUAUAAGAGCUCAAAAGAAGGAGAUUUAGCAGAGUCUCUUAUAGGUUUCAAAAAAGCGAGGAAGGAUCUUCAAGUGGAGAGGACCCUUUCUCCUCCCUAACUCCAAUGGCGAACAAAACUCUAGCAUUAGACCACCUAAAGUCAGACGAUAAGCCAUGCAUUCAUCUCGUGGACUUUAUCUUCUAUUGCGACACCAUCAAGCUACACGGUGUUUCUGUUGAGGUUCACAUCGUGUUCCCCUUGAGUUUCAGCAACCAUCCACUCCAAGCACCUUAAAUCAUCCGUCUUAGUUUCUGCUUGUCCCCAAACACCGUACAUCGCAUGUACUUCGUGAUUUUUCCAUUCUUUGAGGCAUUUAGCUCCUCCUUGUACAUCAUACAGUUAUGAAUAAUGCCUCGACGUUGUUGUGUGCCUGAAAUUGAUAAAAAACACAACGCAACAACAUCAAAUGGACCCCAAACGGGUAUGAGACACUAAAUCGAGAUAGAAGUUACAAAUGCACAAAACAUCAUGUCGUGAAUGUUUCGAUCCGCGACACCGAUGGCUUGAAAUAUUUCAGAGUCGCCACCAAUCUGUUGAAGCGGAUUGGACGCUGUCGACAUAACCCAGGUCCUUUUGGACGUGAGUUAGAACAGGUCUGCGGAACAGAGAUCCUGGAUUCGAGAGGCGGUUACGUGCAGGGAAGGAUUAGCACCCCCAUAGCGCCCGUCAAACCGGUACUACUAAAUUUGAUAAGUUAUGUUUUAUUUUCUUAGUUUAGUGGUUUAAUUAUGCUUUAGUUUGGACGCAUAAGGUUAUGUAAAUUUUUUAGAGAAUAUUUUUAUUCAAUUGUAAGUCUUUAUGAGUUCCCACUCUUGUGGAAAUUUUUUUUUAUGUUGAUAAAUAUUUUGAGUUGAACAUUCUUAAUUUAAUUGUUUGGAUUUACGAAUUCCCAUUCUUGUGGAAAUUUUGUUUUACGCUGGUGAAUAUUUUUAAGUUGGUUAUUUUUAAUUUAUAUGUUUGGACUCAAGUCUUACGACUGCCUACGUACCUAAUUCUUUGGGAUCAAAGAUCAUGUAGUUCGUUAUGGAAAAGUUGAUUUGAGGAUUUUUUGUAAUUUUUACUAUUAUAAAAACCACGUUAUCAUGCUCAUUUUUUAUUUGAAAGACAUUUAUUUGGUUAUUUCAAAGUUGGAACUUUAUUUGCCCACUUAUGAUUAAAUGAUAAUUCUACAAAAUUCGAAACUCUUGUCACGGAUACGAAAUUCAUAUAACAUUGCUAUAAUAUCUUUAAAGGAUUAUUAUUAAGGAAAUUUCACAUUUUUUGCCAAUCGAAAAAUUAAUUGGUUUAUAUCAGUUAACUUAAUUUGACAUAAUUAAAAAUGCAUUACAAGACGGUUAACGAACUUACAUUUAAAUAAAUAUGUCACAAGUAUUUUUGGUGAUUUGACAAUUCUAUUGUGGUUAUGUUAAUGUUAAUUAAAAUGAUACGUUGAUUUGAAUAAUUGUAAAGUUUUGAGUUUUUAAGUUUACAACUUUAAGGUAUAAAUAUCAAAUAGGAUUAAAGAAGGUAUGACGUUUAUUCUGUUAUUCUUCCACACUUAUUUCACUUUUAUUCCACUCUUAAUAUGGCCUUAAUGAUAUAUGAAUAUAAUUGAAUCGACUAAAGGCUUGGCCUUUCUAAAUUAAUUGUGCCCAAGCUCGAGCUCGGCCCAACCGAACGAUGAGCCGAACCGGCGGGUAAGAGGAGGGCAGCCCGCGUGCCAAACUGGUCGAACCGGUUAUCCACGGUUCGAUCAGAAAACUCAAAAAGAUGAAAUUGCCCCUAGCGUUCCGUGCGCUGAAGAAGGGUGGCAGGGGAAAUUUUGUAACUUCACCUUAAACCUAAUCGGCCUUAUAAAAGGGCCUCUUAAAUCGAGAAAUGACUCAUUUGCAACUUCCCACUCUCUCUUUAUCAUCCCUCUUUCUAAACCGCCGCCCUUCUCCCCCCCCCCCCCCCCCCCCCCCCCACCCACCUUUAUCACGGAGUGUGCUGUUUUUUUCUAGUUCCUUUCUCUUCUUCUCAGCCGCCCUUUUUUGCCUCCUCUUACCUCUCAGGACCCCUCUUUCUACCUCCGUUUUUUCGAUUUUUCCAGAUUUGGACUUGCAUGUCAUCGGAGGAUACUCCGGUGAGUCCUCCGGCAAAAUGCAAGUCUCGAUCUGUAGAUCUAAUGUUUUAUUUUGGUAUUAAACAAUUUUGGUUAUUUGAGGGUGGUACCGACGGGGGUGGCGGGGAGGUAGAGAAAUGGAAAAAAGAGAAAGUUAGGUAAGUAAGAUUUCUUCCCUAUUCCUUUUGAUUAAUGUCUGGUUAAUUGCUAACGAAGCUAACUACCGGUUUCUUUGAUGACUUUUUUUAUGUCUUUGAAAAUGGGCAUAGUCGACAUGUUUUGGAAAAUGAGAGGAAAAGGAGAAGAUUGCUUUUAGGAGGUAAGACAGCUAAUUUUGAACCCAUUCUAAUUUUUCUAGGUAGAAGUAACAAUUCUAUUUGUUGAUAAGUUGCAUAAGAAACUAGGUUUGUUUUGUUACUGAAGUUGUAGUAGUAGUCUAGGUGUUUUAAAAAGUUUUGUUUGAAAAACUUUAUUUUUUUUACUAUUGUUUAAAUUUUUUUAGCAACAUUGUUUAUUCCAAAAAUCCGUAUUUUAACUCGAUUUUACUAUGAGUUUCAUAGUUCUUUAGGUCUUUGGUGCGAAAAUGAUGAAAGAUGGCUAUAGGUUUCGUUGUUAAUACUUUCCAAUAACUUUUAGUUCAUUUUUGAAGCUUAUUUGAUUGAUUUGUUGGUUGUUUAUUAAAAUGAAUCAUUUAUUUGAUUAGUUGCAACGAAUCAUUGGGUUCAAUAGUAGUUUAGAAGGUUGCUAAGUGAUAUAGCAUAACAAUGUAUAUGUAUGAAUGAUGUGUGAAUGCUUCAGAAUAGGGAUGUUUUGAAUGAUUACCUUCAUUCAAAAUUUCUCUUUUAUCGUAUUUCAGGUGGCGGCGCCUAUCGUGAGUGACGUCAAACCGAUUUGGCGGCUUCUAUGUGUAUGGCGACAAAAGAUGUUGUAAAACUUAUUUUUUUACAGUUUUGUAAUUAUUUCCCGGGACUUUGAACGAGUGAUGUUGGUGUAUUAUUUUUGGGGGUUUUGGGAAGAACUGGGGGACGAAUUUUGAAAACUGUAAGCUCCUCUUUUUGCUGAUUUUUGUCAGUCCAUUUAAAUGCAGAAAGGGCUACAGUCACUUCUUUUAACCAACCACAUCUUGCAAAGUUUUCUGACAAAAAUAAAAGGUGGCAGCUCCCCAAAUAAUAACCGUAACGGGCCCGAUAUUGGGCUUGAAAUAAGGCCUGGAAUCGGGCCCGAAAUCAAAUUGGGUCUAACACAUAAAUAGUUUCGAGAUAAGGGAUUUUGCCGAAUUUCGAGAUAGCGGACUUGAGGUCCACUCAUUUCGGCCGUUUCCGUUUAAAAAGAUCUAAAACAAAAUCGGCUUAGAACAGUCUGUAACAUAAUAAUUACAUCUCGAAAAUAUGCUAUUUGGCUACCAAGUUCUCCCCUAACGUGCACUUUGAUUAAUUUAACUGAAUAAACUUCGCAACAAGUAAAAUCUCGACGCUAAAUCCUUCCUAGAGAUGCUACGACUAUUUAGUGAAAUGACACUGGCGUGCAUUCUUCACUCGAACGAAAUUUGGUUACUACAGUUGUCCCUCUUUGUAUUACUUUCGCUUGGAAGUGGAAAGUGGUACAAAGACAGAAACCAAAUUUCGGACGAGCGCCUGAACUUCUCACGUCAAGUCCACUAGGGUCCAAGGAUCUGCCACAACAUCGGGUAGAAAACAAAAUUUGCAACCUGACCACACAAACAACAUGCAAUGCAUUUCCCUAUGGGUGUUAGGGUGAAUGUACUAGGGACUCAGCUUGACUUAUCUCCCGUUCCAUGGGUUGACUAUACUAGGGACUCAACUCGACUUAUCUCCUGUUCCAAGGUGCAAUCCGCUUUCCCCAGGAUGCUAAGGGUUGAUGUACUAGGGAUUCGACUAGACUUAUUUCCCGUUCCAACGUGCGAUCCGUUUGCCUUAGGACGCUAAGGGUUGAUGUACUAGGGAUUCAGCUUGCUUAGUUCCCGUUCCAUGACUACAAAUGUGUUGAUGAUGAAUGGUUUCGAAAGAGUUUGAGUAAGGCUCCCCCUUUUUGAAAAAAACAUGCAUCUGAUGGCAAUGCUUGAUUGAUAUUUUUCAUCAUUUUCACUCCGACGAGAUUCACUGUUUUGUUUUCUUGUCGCUUAGUUCGCACUACGUGCUAGCGCAAUGGUGUCAACCCUGCUGAUAGCUGGGUAACCUUUAAUGUAUGUGCCCAUUUUUCUUUGUUUUUCCCCCGACGUCUUCAUAUUAUUCCCAUGCCUUGGGAUUUUAAGGAUCUCUUUCCUACUUUGUCUCUACUUCUAGAUAUAAUGGUAAGAUAACGACGACCUUUGUAAAUUUCUUUCUUCGGUUAGGAAUAAGUGGAGAAAUCCUGCCAUCCGGGCUUCUUUUCUUUAACCCUUCCCUUUUACUAAUUUUUUCAUUCUUUCAACGGUUUUCAUUAUUAUUACUAUUAUUUUUCUCCCUUUUGUCUUCACUUUACCGCUAAUUUCAUUUGAAAAGACCUCCUAAUGAUUAAUUAGAGCGAAGGUGUUUGCACGAACGCAUUUGCCUCAAGUUCCUGUGGGGUGUUGUACCUCAUCCAUUUUGUUUGGUGAUGCGUGAACAAUGGUUAGGAGAGUAGUAUUUGAGAAUUCAUGAAGUAUCCAAAACUUAAAGUUGACUUAAAUUAUCACUUUAUUGAUGGAAAACCGAUCACGUAGAUCUCCGUCAGGAACUUUAAGCAUAGUACUUGUUUACUGAAUAAGAGUUAAAUAGGUAAGGGAGCUUGUCUCCGUCCAUGUUUGCCAGUAUUAAUGCCCCCCUGAGAAAGCCCUUUCCCCUACAUAGGGCCCUUCAUAGUUCGGCUUCCACAUUCCUCUUGGGUCCCCUUGUCAAAUGGAAAUCUUCUUCGUUACCAACUCUCCUUCGCGAAAUUCCCGUGUUUCACUUUUUUUUAAAAGAUCUGAUAAAUCUGCACUGAUACAGGCGUUAGUGGUGGAUAGCUGCCAACCUUUUCUCAUCAAUUUAAUUUAACUGGUCGUAUGCCGCUUUUACCUACUCAACUUGUUCUAACUUCGCCUCCAUGAUAACCCUUAGUGAAGGCAUUUCUACGUCCAUGGGAAGCACUGCCUCCAUCCCAUAGACCAAUUGGUAAGACGUCGAUCCCGUUUAGGUUCUUACUGAUGUUCAGUAACCGUGCUGGGUAAAUGGUAGAAUUACGUGCCAAUCGCGGUCGGUAACGACCAUUUUCUGUAUGCUUUUCUUGAGGUUUAUUGUUUGUCAGCUCGACCGCUCCGUUCAUCUUUGGUCGGUAUGGUACCGAGUUGUGGUGCUUAAUCUUAAACUUGUUGCAAAGCUCAUGCAUCAUCUUGUUGUUGAGAUUUUUCGCAUUGUCGAUUAUUAUUCUUUCCAGGAGCCCAUACUAGCAAAUGAUUUCCUUUUGUAUGAACUUUUUGACAACGCUCUUGGUAGUGUUUGCAUAUGACACAACCUCGACCCAUUUCGUGAAAUAGUCGAUGGCUACUAGGAUGAAACGGUGCCCAUUAGAUGCUUUUGGUUCAAUCAUGCCUAUGACCUCAUGAUGCAAAAGGCCAAGGCGAUGCCAUAAUGUGCAACGAUGAUGGAGACACGUAUUUCUCACCGGCAUAAACCUGGCACUUAUGGCAUUUUCUCACGUGUUUUACAUAGUCAGAGUUCAUCUUCGUCCAAUAGUAACCCAUCCUUAAUAUCUUCUUAGCUAGCGCAUGACCACCGACAUGUGUGCCGCAGACUCCCUCAUGGACUUCUUUUAUUGUUCUCUGAGAUUCAGGGGCAGCUACACAUCUUUGCAGCACAAAAUCAUGGCUUAGUCUGUAGAGGGUAGUCCUAUGAACAUAGUAACCCAUCUCCAAUCUCCGUAGAGUCCUUUUAUCAUUUUCAGAUGCCCUAGCUGCGUACUCCCUUUUAUGUAGGUAGGUCUUUAUGUGAUGGUGCCAGGGAUUCCUCAUGCUCUUUUUGGACUCUACCUAGGUAGGCAGGUGCAUUUUUCUUUUUGAUUUUGCUUCAUGGGUUAACCUCGGUCUCGUCCAGUUUGUACAUCGAGGACAAUGUGGCGAGAGCAUCCGCUAUUUGAUUGUCGACUCGCGAGAUGUGCUCAAACUGUAUCGACUCAAAUUUUGCGGCCAUUUCCCCUAUGUAUUUAUGGAAUGGGACAAGCUUAUGACCCCUAGUUUCCCAUUUUCCUUCAACUUGUAUAUUACUAGCGCUGAAUUACCAUAUGCCUUCAAAUUCUUAAUAACCAUUUCGAGGGCUCCUCGGAUCCUGAAAGUGCACGAUUGGCACUCUGUUAUGUUGUUGGUGCAAUCGAAGCAAAUUUUGGCAGUAAUAGGGCACACCCUCCCUUCAGAAGAGACAGAAACGACGCCGACGCCCUGUCCCAAUGAGUUUGAGGCCCCGUCAAACUUCAUCACCAAUGUUUUUUGGACGAAGCCUUCCACUAAUUUCUCAGUGUUCAGUAUAGUUUCAUCCGGAAAUUCCAUUAACAUCGGAUUCGUGUCCGAGAUUGCAUGCUCCGCUAGAUGUUCUGCCACUACACUCCCUUCAAUGGCCUUCCUUCGGAUAUAAACGAUGACGUAUUCUGCCAGCAGCACUUGCCAUUAGCCUAUCCAUCUGGAGAGGGCCAACUUUUCGUGGACAUCCUUGAUAGGGUUCAUUUUUUAUAUUAGGAGCUUCGUGUGAUAUAACAUGUACUAUCUCAGCCUUAUGGCUACCCAUACAAGUGCUCCGCAAGUUUUCUCGAGCGAUGUAUAUCGAGAUUCGUAGUCAUGAACUUCUUGCUGGUGUAAUAUAUUGGCGCGCUCUUUCCUUCCCGAUUCAACAUGUUGGGCCAACAUCGCGCUUACCAAAUUUUCAAAUACCGUGAAGUACAAUAUUAGUGACCUUCUAGAAGUUGGUGGGGCCAGAACCGGAGGGUUUAAUAAACACCCUUUGACUUUCCGAAAGGCAUGAUGACAACCUUCAUCCCACUCGACAUUCCGGUUCUUCUUUAAAAGCUUGAGAAUGGGUUCACACGUUAAGCUCAAAUGCGAUAUGAACCGACUAAUGUAGUUCAAGCGUCCUAAGAAUCCUAGCACCUCUUUAUGCAUUUAGGGAGGAGGUAUGUCAACCAUUGCCUUCACUUUGUCAGGGUCCACUUCAAUCCCCUUUUGGCUAACCACGAAACCGAGCAGCUUCUCCGAGGUGACUCCGAACGUACACUUUUCUGGGUUCAGCCAGAGCUGGUACUUCCCGAGUCGCUCGAGCAAUUUUCAUAGCACAGUUACGUAGUCGUCUUCCUUUUAUAACUUUGCUAUAAUGCCAUCCAGAUAUACCUAUAUUUCUUUGUGUAUCAUGUCAUGAAACAGUGUGACCAUGGCCCGCUGGUAAGUUGCCCUAGCGUUCUUCAGCCCAAAAGACAUAACUUUAUAGCAAAAGGUUCCCCAUAAAGUGAUGAUGGUCUUUUUUUCUCGAUCAUCCGAAACAUCCUGAUAUGGUUGUAUCUUGAGAAACUGUCCAUGAAAGAGAACAUAUUAGUUGACGGUAUUAUCAACGAGGACAUUUAUGCGAGGCAAAUGGAAGUUGUCCUUUGGGCUUGCCCUAUUUAAAUCUCUGUAGUCUACGCACAUUCUCAUUUUUCCAUUCUUCUUAGGCAUAGGGACCAUAUUAGAGAUCCAAUCGGUGUAUUACGCCACCUGUAAGAACCCGAUUUCGUAUUGUUUCUGCACUUCUUCCUUAAGUUUGAGUAUCCAUUCCGGUUUCAUCCGCCAUAACUUUUGCUUUACUGGCUUGCACUCCUCCUUUAUUGGCAAGUGAUGUGUUACUAUUGUUCAUCGAGGCCCAACAUAUCUUGAUAAGACCUUGCGAAAACGUCCUAGAAGUUCUGGAGUAGUUUGACGAGCCUGUUCUUUUCUGCUUGGUCUAAACUGUCCCCUACCUUAACCUGUCGCCGAUUGUCCUCUGUUCCCAAAUUCACGACCUCUACUGACUCGUAGAAAGGUUUCAAGGAUCGCUCUUCUUAUCCUGCCAUCCAAUCUGUUUCUAGGUUAGAACCAUCACUGGCUUCCUCGGUUUCCAUCUCAUAAACUGGGUGGUGAAAGUCAACUUUAGUGUUUCGUACCUCUUCAUUGUUUUCAAACACAUCUGUAACCCUGUUACGUGACGGGAAAUAGAAAAGGGAAAAAGAAGAAAAGCGGAAGUGAAUAAUAUAGACGAUGCACGGAUUGAGACUUAUGAAAACAUGCUUUAUCAAACAUGUGAAAAUGUGAUACAUGCAUUCAGGAUCACUUAAAAAACACUAGGAAGCCCUUGCUUAUUUUAUUUAGUAGUCAUAUUUUAGAGUUAUUACAUCUGCAAUGGCGAAAGUAACUCCAAAGCCUCCCAAUUGCUUAGCUCUUCCUUUGGACGGAGCUGCCGCACCCAUUUUAUUCCGGUCAUAAUUCCCGUACCCAGCAUGCUGAUGAAGAGAUCUGCAAAAUCCGACUGUAACUCUUUGGUGGUCGGAUCAGUGUAGUUUUUCCUCACAUUUAUCUUUCCAGCAUUCUUGCUUGUGAUGUGAGGUAUGAAAGUCAGGCCUUCAUCAUCUUCUGUCCCACUUAACCUGGACACCCUCCUCCUUAUCCGUUCCUUUUGGAUCCUCCUUAUAUCAUCAUCGUUUAGAAUGUAUCGCAAUCCCGCACGGUUCUUAUUUUCUUUGACCUGGAUGGGUUCUUUCAGCACCUCCUGCCAUUAGUAUCAUAGAUUCCAUACUCGAUAUUAAUCUAACCGAUGUCUCGAGACUAAUUAGAGUUAAUUACCAAGUGCAUUAAUAUAGUACAAUGAUUAAUCUGAAAAUUAAUUCCAAAGCGGAUCGACAUUCCGCCCCUCUCUCAAGUGUAGCGGAGACGACGAUAGACCUUGGCGUUUGGGGAUUUAGUCUCACUUUCGUAUCUAAACCAAAUCCCAACAAUAAUCUUACAACUGGAAUUCGACAAUUACAAAAUAAAGCAGUAGCUAUAUGCAAGAGAAAGACAAUAACGAAAUUAAUGAUAGUUCCGCUUAACACAAUCGAAAUUAUGUCGUAUUAACACAUAAUCAAGGUUUCAUCAAUUUCGGACAGACAGCUUAGUUACACAUGGUGAUCAAAUUAAAAACACAGAAAUCAAGAUAAUACAUGAACCUGGAGCUCCAUGCUUCAUGAACGCUCUGCCGUCGUAAAAUUCAGCAAUGUAGGCGGUCCGAACGGAAGUUCCGAAAUGGAUUUCUUCACCUUCGGAGCUCGAAAUUGCAUGCGGUUUGAAGUGGCAUGUUCCUGGGUUGAAGAAGGACGUCUUGGGGCAGAGUAGGAAGGCUUGCGGGUCUGAUAUGGUGUGUGUAUGGUGUGAUUUCGAAGUGGACAUGACUUGCCCUUAUAUAGGCUCGAAAAAUGGCGUAUUAAGGCCUCCGACAUGGGCAUACCAACUCCAUCAUCUGUAUGCAAGCUGUAGCUGUCCCUGGACUGAUGAUGGACGGAUCUACAUGUGCUGGACGUCCUCAACCAUGCCCGGUUAUCCUUCCGGCGAUCGGUUGAGCGGUGGAUUGUAAAACGGGUCGUAACUUCUUCGUUGCAAAUCUGAUUUAGCUCCGGUUUGUAUCGUUGGAUUUUUAAUUCAUCCCUUUAUAAUACGUGACCUGAAAUUUUAUUAAACACACUAGAAGAAAUAUAAAAUUGGACCAUAAAGGUCCAAGGGUUGAAUUUACGGAAUUAAGUGCAAUAUAACUGAUAUCCGUCGAAACUUUUGUUUGCAAUUGAUAUUAUGACUUGAAGUGUAGAAAGUUUAGUGCCAAAUAUUACGGUAUGUUAUGAUGUGAUCAAAAUACCCCACACUUAAACUUUUCUUGUCGUCAAGAAAACUGUAACUUAACCCACACGAAAUACCAAAGAUAGUUACCAUCAUUUAUACAAGGUUUAGGAAAUGUAAUUUUACAAUUUACGAUGCAACAGAGGUUAAAUGCUUGGCCACAUCGGUGAGAUAAAUCUCUAGUUAGAAAUUCACGAGACAGUGCACACCAGAUUAAUCAAGAUUCAAAUGCUAAAAAUAAAAGGGUUAAAUGCAUUUGUUGCAACUAUAAGAUUCAUUUUGCGCUUCCUUACGAAAUUAUGAAAUUUUAUUUCUUUUUUAAAGUUUCAAAAUUUUGAAUAACCCGUAGCCGAGCAAGACUAGUGAGUACUAUACUCAACCUUUUAACACAUUUCAUUCUUCCCACACACACCUCAAUUAAGUCCCGUAUGGGAGGCAUCUAAACUGGCUGCCUAAUUGGCAGGGCAGCUAAUGCAGAGGUGCUAGUCCUCUACCACACGCGUUAAGUUAAUCAUUGAAUUAUUGAGACAAAUUAAAGAAGCAUUUUGAUUUAAACAUUUUUUUAUGGCGAAAGUUGAAUCCAGUUUUGAAUUUGCAGAUUUAAACCAAACAUUUUAAGCAUUUGCAUCAAUUAAUCCGAGAUGUACUAAAUACAAAAAUGAAAGUCUAGUAAAAACAAGUGGUCAUUCCGCAACAACUACCAUGUCACCCAUAAUCGUUACAUUCCCAUUGUCUAUUUUAAUGUGAUCCCUAAAUUGGUAGAUGUGUAACCGCUAGUACUGUUUGUGAGGAGAUUAAAGUAAAGUACGGAUGAAAUGUUGAAAAAAAUUUAAAACACCUCUCGUUACACCAUCACCCAACACUUGAAUUAUACAUUGCCCUCAAUGGACUAUGAAUCUGGGAUAAGAGGGAAACAAGUAUACCGAGAUAUCGAGAAUGACAAUGCCAAAGUAAACUGCUCUAUAAUACCUGUCUGUCGGAUGAUAACGGUAACACAGUGAUAACAAAACAAAACAAAACUCAAAACACAUUUGGCAAAUGCCACAACUAAAAAUCAUACUAAAUCACACCACACAAUGAUGCAGAUCCAAGAUAAAUAUAUUCGAAAAUGUUAAUAUUUUGAAAUACAUCAAAAAGAAGAAGAGAAAAAUACACAUCCUAGAUCGAAAAAUCAAUCAUAACUAUCGGAUCAUAUUCAAAAUUUUGGGCAGAGUCAAGAUGAUUUUAAGGGUCUUGGAUGAUUUUAUUGAAUGAAAUAAGAAACUUGGGUUGUCUCCCGAGGACCACUUUUUUAUCGUCUUUAAGUUAGAAGUUUCCAAGAAAAUUAUUUAAUUAGCCAGGUGAAACACCUCAUGGAUGGUGAGAGAGUCGCUCGCAAGGUAGAGUUUCAACCGAUGACCAAUAACUUUAAACAUACCAUGAUCAGGGCUCGAGAUUUCAACAAUUUCGUAAGGAAGAACUUCAGUCACUGUGAAUGGGCCCAACCAAUGGGAUUUAAUUUUCAUGGAAAGAGGCGAAUCCUAGAAUUAUAUAGGACUAUGUCUCCCGGACGAAAGUGUUUUCCAGGUUUUAACCUUGCGUCAUGAAGACGCUUUGUCUGUUGCUUAUACAAAUUGCCAUUUUAAUAGGCAUGAAGAUGGAAUUCCUCCAGUUCAUGUAUGUGGAACUGAUGGCGAGGUCCAGCGACACUCAUAACAAGGUUUAGAGAUUUAAAGGCCCAUAAUGCCUUAUUCUCUAACUCAACAAGCAGAUGUCAUGCCUUUUCGUAGAAGAGACGGUAAGGGGUAGUGCCGAUAAGAGUUUUAAAAGUGAUAUGCCCAAAGUGCAUCGUCCAACUUUUUUUACCAAUCCUUGCGAGUCCAGGUGACAGUUUUCUCCAAAAUCUACUUAAGUUCUCGGUUCGUUACUUUCGCUUGACCACUAUUAUGUAGGUAGUAACCAGUGGACAGACGAUGAGUGAAACCAAAGCGGCGACACACAUGAUCAAACUGUCCCUGACAGCGGGUUCCUCGAUCGCUGAUGAUAGUGCGAGGUGCUCCAAACCGAGUGAAAAGUAGUUGCACAACUGGCUUAUAAGCUAGCCUCUUCCAUAAGAACUUUGUGGGUAAAAAAAGAGGGAGAGAUGCUUCGAAUAUCAUAGAUUUUCCAAGAAAUGGCCUUAAUAUGCUCUUUUAAAAGGGUGAUGAGACGUCCCUUUUAUUCCGGAAUGAGGGAGGCAAUGAUACUGACUAGAAGCUUCGAGUAAUCCAUCAGAAAAGCAUACUUGAGGUGCUCCGGUAGUGCUUUCAUCUUCAAUAUUGGAGGCUCCUCAUAUGAGGGUUUGACGGGCUCAAUCCUUGAGAGCUUGACAGGAGGUUCAGGAGCAGAGUCUUAGCAAUCUGCUCAAGUUGUUGUACCUCAUCAGAAGCAUCCCAAACACCAAAAUAAAAGGCACAACUCGAGAGGGUCUUAGCAAAUGCCCUCAGAUAAGAAGAAUACUGAUCCAACCUCAAUGGAGUCAGCAGGAUAGUUUCAGUCAUCCUGGACAUGGGCAUAUUUCAUCCUGUCAGCAUGGCGAAAUGUGGCCUUUCCUUGACCUACUUGAAGAGUAAGCUCGCCUUCAUGGACAUCAAUGAUGGUGCGAGCCGUAUUUAAGAAUGGGUGGCCAAGAAUGAGGGAGGCAUCUGAUUCAUUGGUGUCAAUGAUAACAAAGUCCACCGAAAAGACAUAAGGUCCCAUCUGCAUAAGUACAUCUCUCAGGAUUCCACGACAAAUUCGAGUGGACUUGUUAGCCAACAGGAUGGUCAAUUGAGUCGGUGUUGGUUCUCCUAAAUCGAGCUGUUGGGAUAUCUUGCAUGGCAUUAGAUUGAUACUUACCCCAGAGUCAGCCAAAGUCUUAUCCAUGCAGGUGUUGGUGAUAUAGUAACAUAAGGUGAAAGAAUCGUGAUCCUUAUGUUUCUUAGGUAGCUGGUUCAGAAUGGCAGCAUAACAUUCAACAUCAAGAGUAACAGACUGAAUCUCAUCCAAUUUUCUCUUAUUGGUCAGAAUCUCCUUUAGAAAUUUCGAGUACUAGGGCAUUUUGGUAAUUUCCUCAAUAAACAGGAUAAUGCCAUUUGCCGUAAUCAUAAGUUCAAUGAACCUUUUGUAACUGGCACCCAUCAUAUCACUCCUUAGACGAGAAGGAUAAGGAGGUUUUGGUUUGUAGGGUGGUAACUCUGGCUUAGGGGGAGAUGGUUACAGUAGCCUUUGGAUAGGUGGCCGAGGUGGCUUUCUCAUCCUUCUUCUCGACGCUAAAGUCAAUGAUCAGCGUUGGAGGAAUGAUGACAGGUGUGGACUAUGGAAUGGGAGGAUCCUUACUGGUGGUUCCACUCUUGAGGGUGACACCUUCACAAGAUUCCGAAGUGUCAAAUCCUUCAUUAGUAACAAAGAUUGCUUUUGAUUCUUCUUGCAUAGAAUUGUUUUCUGUGUUGCUAGGGAGAGAGCCUUGUGGUCUCUCACUAAGAAUUUUGGAAAGAUUUUUCAAUUUCAAUUCAAUGUUAUGGAAAGUGGUUUGUUGCCCACGGAUAAUCUUUUCCAACCUCUCGAGUCUGGAAACUUCAUCAGACUUGGAUGUAGAAGAGGCUUGAAUAGGCGGUUAUUCAGGCUUUUGCCCAAAACCAGGAGGUCAUUGGUUAUUAGUAUAGUUCCUCGAUUGAUAGCCUUGAUUAAGACGAGAGGCAGAGUUUCCUUGGUUGAAGGUUGAUCUGUAAUAGGCAUGUUCAUCUAAUUUGUGAAUGUUUUGCUGUUGUGACGGUCCUGAGCAUUGGGUAUCAUGGUUGGUUUGGUAAGAGUUUUGGAAAGACUUGGAUUUAACUUGAUUUCAAAAGUUUGAGUUUUAAUUUUGACCAAAAAUUUAUCAAUCUUGUGGGUAACCACCACCCAAAAAGUCAACUUCUUCUGUCUGGUUAAAAACGGUAUCCCCAGAGUAACAGUCAGUAGAAUCACAUCCUUGAUCCCCUCAAGCAACAUAGACAAAGAUUAUUGCCGUCGAAUUCUAUAGGGUCCUGACGUUCAGCUUGCUCACUUUUUGAGAAAGCGCAUGCAGCUGAGAGAGAACGGGAGAAAUAACCGUCCCAAGGGUUUCAUGACGAAUCACAAAGGAUGAAGUGGUAGGCGGGGUGCUAUGAUGCUUCCCAUGUUGCCUAGUCAAAGUAUGACUACACAUAUCACAUCCAGCAGCCAGGUUGAUCAUUUGUGUGCUUUCCCGAUUGAGCCUUCAAUUGAAAAUAUCGGCUUGGUUUCGGUCAUCGAAGCUGUGAUGAGCGCAAGAGCGGAGGAGGGCUUGGAAUCGAUUGCAUGCUUCAUAUAAUUGUUCAUUAUCUCAUUGCAUGCAAUGGAUAAUUCUCUCUUUUAUCUCACCGCGCUUCUAUGGAGGAAAAAAUACCUUGAGAAAGGCUUUAGCGGGACCGUCCCACAUGGUAAAACUCCCUACUGGUUGAGAAACAAGCCAGAUUUUUGCAGCUCCCUUGAGAGAGAAAGGGAAACGCUAGAGGCGAAUGGCAUCAUGGUGCACCUGUUGGAGUUGUAAGGUGUCGCAUAUUUUGAGUAAGUAUUUGAUAUGUUGGGUGGAGUUAUCGUCCUCUUUCCCCAAGAAUUGGACUGUUUGUUGGACCAUGUAGAUCAUAGCGGGUCGCAAUUAAAAAUUGUUGUCUUCGACGUGGGGUCGGGCGAUGGAGGACCCCAGGUUCUAGAGACUUGGUUUGGCAUAAUCGCCAAGUGUCUUCUCUUCAGCCAUGGUGAAGGAUCCUUUGGGGGAAAUGCUUACGUGAUCUUCGCCAGAGUACUCAUCCUUGGAAUCCGUUCUACCGAGAGCCGGAGGUGCAAUUGUAAUUCCUUCAAGGACAUGUUUAGAAAAUUACCAAGUAAUCCGUCGAGUCAUUCAUUUGACCGAAUAGGAGUUUGGAAGAUGGGAGGAGAGAGGGAAGCAGAAUGAAUGAAUUCGUUGAGUUUUAGGUUUUGGAGGUUUGAAGAAGAAGUUUCGAGAGAGUGUUAAAGAAGGUGAGUGGGAAGAUUAUGGAGUACUUUACUUAGAAACGCCGCCUUGUUGCCAAAACCAAAACUUUCAUUUCAGUUCCAAGGAAAGUAGGGGAGUCACUCAGACUACUUAAAUCCCUUUAAACUUUAGGUAGCAUCUCUUUACGAAAGCCAAAAUAAUCCUCUCAUCUUUUUUAAUUCUCCUUUCUUAUGAUUUUAAAUUUUUUCUAUUUUUCUAUUUUUAGUGUUUAAAUUCAUAUAAAUGAUUGGUAGCAGAUUUUUUUAUUUUUUAAUUAUUUAUUUGGAUUUUUUUGUGGAAUAGGAAAGAUUCGGAGAUGAGUGGAAGAUAUGGAAAAGAUUGAGAGUUCAGUUGAGCAAGAUAAAAUAUUGAAUGGCUGAAAUGUAGAGAGAGAAAAGUUGAGUGACCAAGAGGGGAGCAUGGGAAAUAGUAUCUAGAAAAUAAAUAUAAAAUAAUUUAAGAAAAAGUAUUAUUAUUAAAAGUGAAAAUUUAGUAACUGUUUCGUACAAAAGGAACGAGGUCCACGACAACGACGCCAAAAUUUGAUCACCCCCGUAGGCAAGUUUAAAGAUAAACUCGGAAAAACCGAGGUCGUAUUCACGCGGAUUCAUUCCGAGUAUUACUCCUGAAAGUGCGAAGAUGAAAGUCUAAUCGUUGGAAUAGCGGGUAUGAAAGCACACAAAUCGCAAUCGAGUAUAAUGGAUGAGUGAAACCUGUCCGGAAAUGAAUUCACCAAGAAUCAGAGCAAGGAUGGUCAUUGUAACCCUUCUUCCUUGUUGCAGUUUCAUCAUGAUAGGCUACACCUUUUGUUGUUAGAUUAGGGAUGAUGUGGAUGCAAGGAGAAUCCCCUCAUAAUGAGGGAUUGGACAAGAUUUGGAUGAUUUGUGGGCUUGCUUUGGAUGAAUGUAGGGAGAUUGAUGCAUGUACACACUUGAUUAAACUAGGAGUGUAUCAUUGAAUGAGAAAUUGGUAGUAUACGAGGACCUUCCAUACCCAAUUCAUCCAUCUUUUUUUGUAAAUUGCAUUGACGCAUUUAAUCAAACAUUUGGCGUGCAUUUUGGUUCUUUCUUAGUGGACCAAACUAGGUUUAGAUAGAGUCAUUGGGUGUUGAUGUGACCACAUUAGCAUCCUUCAUAGGUGUUUGGGGUGCCUUAUUUCCUUGUGCAUCAUCAUAUUAUUCCGAUUGAACAUCAUUGAAUGCACUUUUGGCUUAUAAGUUGUUUGUGACCACAACAAGUUAUAAGGUCCAUUGGUACUGUUAGAUAUGACCAUGCAUAUAGACUUUAACGAAUAGGAAUGCAUGGAAGCUUGUAUAGUUUGGUACCUAACAUUACACUUUGGUCAUAAAAUACCCAUCACAUAAUCAUAAAAUAUUCAUAACAUUUGGUUUAUGUUUUUCUCGCAACUCUUUUUGUUGGAUUUAAUAAUCACCACCAGGAUGCCGUUUUUAGAGUCUGUUUAAUGUAUGAUGAUAGAAUUAAAUCAUUUGAUUGGUUAUUCCGUACAUUUUUACAGUGCCUGUGAGGGAAGGCACCCAAACCAUUUUCUCAAAUCAGGACCCGACCAUGGAUGCGGCAUUGAAGAGUGCCAUGCCAAAUACAUACCACGCGACGGCGGUGGGGUAUGAUAGGAAUCCUCUGUCGACACACCCUAACUGUGAUGCAUGUCAUCGGGAGGUUUGAAAGCGAGAAGUUCAACACACUUCCCGCAUAUACAUGUUGAGGAGAUGGACUAGAGGAGCCAAAAUUCGGUUUCAUGACAUAGUUAUUACGCGGCUCCUCUCUCAGGAUGGUGAGGAUGGUGAAAGACUUGCUGAAGUUUGUUUCUAUGAUUAGGGUUGUUUAUAGGGUCGAUCAGUUUCAUAAUAUGUUGGAUGUUGUGGUAGAUGGGUUGGCCAUUCAGGUAUGCAGUAAUCAAAGUAUACUUAUUUGUUAUAUUCACCGUACAUGACUUGUAUAUGGUCAUAAUAUACCUAUUAUGAUAGUGGUAUUUCUGUAGGUUGAACAAGCAUUGACCUUGUAUGAUGGACAACAGCCAAGGGAAACUGUGGUGGCAGAUAGAGAUACCACCAGCGUUGCAGUCGCUACGUGUUGUAGUAGUGUGAUCAGGAGAGAGAUUGCAACGAAGUACACCCCGCAGAGCAGACCAAGUAAGAACAACCAGCGUGGGAAACAUAUCACAGAUACGGUCGCAUGAGGCAGUGUAACAAGUUUAGGAAGAUUCGUGCAAAGGAAGUUCAAUCCGAACAAGCAGUCGCAAUGGACGUGGAAAUGGAGGACUUACUCAAUAAUGAUGUUAUACAUCAGUGCAUCGCAUUUUUGCAGGCACAGGAGAGCACCACUGCUACUGGCAACCCCCCUCGAUUGAGAGUGGCCCUUGAUAGGGUAAUCGUUAAUUAUUUAAUGGUCAUUAUGGAGAAAAGCCUACCUGUAACGCUAGCAGAACUGUAGCAUUAUAUAUGUACACUAGUCACGUAGUUAUGUAAGAACAUUGCCAUAUUAUGGGUAGAUCAGUGACAUAUUUUUGGUAAAACAGUACCAUAUUUUGGUAGCACAGUCUUGUAGUGUUGGAAGAAUAGUGGCAUAUUUUGGGAUGUAGAAGAAGACACAUUGUUCGGAAUUAUAAUAUUAUAUGUGGUGCUAGUAUUGACAUAUUCUGCUACAAGGAUUACACCAUGUGGUAGGUCCACUUCAAGGAAUACAACAAGGAUACUACUGUUACCCUAAACAAUAGGCAUAACAUCAAUGUACAAUAGCCAUAACAACGUUACACAUACUUUCUUAGGUUCAAACUGCCAACCAUUGUUCUUCAAAUGGAAAAUGUGACCUUCAUCGCCAUGGCACUCAAAUGGAAGGCCGUCUGGAUGCUCUGAUAUGAUAGUGCGAAUGACGUUCCCUGCUUCCUUGAAAUUGACUUUAGCCUUCCAAAAGGUAUCCUUCCACAUUUCAAUCCGACUGACCAAGUCAACGUGGCUGCUCCUUUUGUCUCCAGAGUGAAUGAUACCUUGGUCCACGAGGCUCCCCUAUCAAUGAUUUCCAUGCAUAAUACAAACACCCACUACUGUACUAGUAUCAACCAGAACUGAAAGUAUACAUAUCAUUUUUCAUAUUCAUGCAACCUUACUUUCCAAUCGUGACAUUCUAGUAAGUCUCUUGUAAAGCUCCCCAUACACAUAAACUAUGCUCUUAAAUAGGGCAUAAUUCAGAAACCAUUUAUAACGAAACCGUAAGAGUAACAUGGUACUAGCAUACCAUACACAUAUCCAUAACAUAACAUAGAUAUCUAACUAGGAGGGUUGGUCGAAGUUCCAGCUUCUAUGAGGAGGUCCACUACCCCUUCAAUUAAAAUAUGGGGAUGAAGUCGACUCCAUUGUGAGAGGACCAGGCGACAGAAGUACUUGAGCAUGUCCUUAAUCAUAACGUUCUCCUCAUCCCACCACUUCGUUUGGUCCGUUGUAAAACAACCAAUGUGUUGCCCCAUAAAACGAAGUGCCAUACAGGCCACACCUGUGAAUGUCAGGCUUUUGUGGCGCAGACACCACCCUCAACUUGAAGUCCUUGAUAUCCACGUGAGUGUUAAGAAGAACAAAUGACCUCGCAUAUUGCAUUAUCUGUGUUCUUGUCGGCUUGUUGUAUGGCUUGGUCUCAAAGUCCUUCUUAUAGAUAAGGCUAUUGAGAAUAACUCUUUCCUUUUUCUCCAUGUCCAACCCAAAGACAUAGAAGUGCUUGAAACUAUUUCCCCUUAUGUUGGGAAGAAGACCGAACACACAAAUAUAAUAUAGUAAUCACAUCAGAUUGUAUAUCAACUGCAUACCACAAAUACAAUACAUACAUAUUUCACGGAACUCAAGCCCUGGAGGUACUUCUUAUUUAAGAAAUCCUUGCAAGUUGGUGGGAAUUUAGAUUGAGUUAGUGAAAACUCAAUCUCAUUUUCAACUUUUGUCCUAGCAGGAGUUUGAAGCCAUAACACAGUCUAACUACACACAUAAAAAAUCACACUUACUAACAAGGAAUAGUCAGAUUAUACUCAUAACACAGUUAAAUUGGCAACAUAACAGAGGCAAAUUGUAUUCAUAACACACACAUAACAUAGAAAGACAGUUAAGUAACUUUGACGAUUCAAACAAUACUUGUAGUAAUUGAAAUAAGCCCAUAUAGUCUUUUUAUUGUGUUGUUGUUAGCCAGUAAAUUGUCAUUAUUGAACUGGUUGCAGAAUGCAUCAAUCAGUUUUGAUGUGCACCUGGUUUGAAUAAUAGACGGUCUCCAACUCAAGCUUCAUGACUUCCAUGCCUUUUUUUCCGGAAAGUCGCAUAUAAUGCAGCUGUUGAUAGGAAACAAUACUGCACUAGUUGUAGCCAUAACACAAAUGUAACACAAACGUAACAAAACGUAACACAAAUGUAACACAAAAAUAAAGGAUAUAUAACAUAGUGAGAAAUGAUAUGUACUCCCUUUCAACACUAGAUAUGGCAUAAGUUACUAUCUUGCUCUCAACUAGUGUUAAUUCAUGUUGAAGUCUAUUUGUGAGAACGAUCUUCAUGCUAGUCUUUUGUCGGUAAUAUGCAAUUGGAAUUGGAUUCUCUGAAUCACCUACCAAGUCCACUACAACUUGUCUCCACCCGGAGUUGCCUUUGUCGAUCCACCCACUAACUCCAAGAUGGCUUCUUUUGCGGUCAUUCUGUUGGUCCACUUCAACUUCCUUCUAUUUUCCUUGGCAACCUGCUCCUCUUCCUUUUCCUUUUCGGCUUCAUUAUCUUCAACCUUCUCUUCUUUCUUUUCUUCAUCCCUAUCAUCUGACUUCUCAUCUUACUUUUCGUCUGCAUUUGCAUCCUCCUCACAGUCACUACCAUCACAAUUUUCACCCUUGUUGUCAUCAUCAUCAUCAUCAUCAUAACCAUCGUCAUCUUCCUCCUCAUCUUCACCAUUGUCUUUAUCAUCAUCAUCACCAUCGUUAUUGUCCAUGAAAUCACCGUAGCUCUCGUCUUCAAACUCAUUACGAAACUCCACGUCAACAACUCCCUUGCCCUUCCCUAGUAAUAGGUUCUGGACAGACGCACUCCUAUCCAGUCACAACUAUAAUUAGCAAGGCAGUUGUCCUGCAUUGCACCUCGAUCGUCGCAACCUCUGCUAACAAUGUUUGCUGCAAUCAUGGUAUGAAGAUGCCUUCAGAUUAACCCAUAUACGAGAUAUAUAACACUUAGGUAAUUCAAAUAUACCACCAUCAGAACAGUACAAUAGUCGUGAAAAGCAGUUCACUGGCACAUAACAGAACAACAACAUAUCUUACGUUUAACGUCCAUAGAACAUUGUAAUAACACCCAUGGAUCAGUUACCUGUUAUGAAGAUGCAAGUUGUACUAUCGCCGUCUACUUGUCCAUUCUAGGGUUCGUUAAUCAUGUUCCCCUAUGCUGAUGCACAUUCACCCCAAAGGUAAGGAAAUCUAGCUCGAGACUUUGUCGAAAAUGUCUUGAGCCUAAGUGGGAGUAAUAGGUUUCAAGCCAGCUACAAGAGACGCCCUCUCACUCAACAUGAAUGACCAGCUGCCGUUAGGAGUACUUAUCCUUCUCAUCAUUUUGAUGACAACAUCGCAUCUUAGUAGGAACAAGUGGGAUGCUCUUUCGGAUCGAUACCAGAAAGAUCAACCAUGUCCAGAAAAUGCAGCUGACACAAACAACCGAGGAUAUCAAGAUUAGACAAUCAACCAACAGUAGUCUGCAUCAACAUAAGAACACUGUACAACUAUUAUAACACAACGAUAGCAUAAAUAUAAUAGCAAUAUAACUUAACAGUAACACUUACCACCAUGAAGUUCAUGUCCCUGCUGGGAUAGGACGCCUUCUGAUUCUUAUAGUAGUCCUCCAGACCUCUUAGCAGAUGAUUUGAGACGUCAGCCGCCCAAUUAGGAUUAGCAAUCUCAAAGUUGUGAAGGUGAAGAUACUUGGAAAACUUCAUUAUAACCCACCGGGUAUUUGUUGGAACAAGCAACGACUCAAGGGCAAGCAACAUGUACAACUUUGUAUAAGCCGUGGGAUCUUUACAAUUCUUCAUUGCAGCUUGGAGUUGAACUAUGUUGAUGUGAUUGUACUUAUUGCUCUUUGUACCGGUCACCCUUUCAAACUGCUUCAAUACCCUUAGCCCGAAAUGUUGGACAUCCACGUCGGCUAGACUUGUAUACAAGGGCAGACCAUAUACAUGGUGCACGACCUCUGACGUUACGCCCAACAGCUGACCAUCCGGGAACUUGAAAAGACCAAGUUCAGGAACAAAGGAUUGGAGGAGGAAUUGAGGAACCUCCUUAUUAAUCAUCUCUAGUUGUAGAUACAACAACCCAUAGAAGCCAGCGUCAUUGAGACAUAGACAGAUGUUAGUACGAUGCGGGUGGUCGUUUUCAAGUAGAUCAUUGGCAGCCACCAACUGUCCAAUUUUGCAACAGAAUGGCUUGCCAUUUCCCUUCUUUUUCUUCAAGCCAAUCUCCCCUAGGGGGCCCUUCUUUACAAUUGGUUGCUUUGUGGCAACUGCCUUUUCGUUAGCACAACCCUUCUUUGUCGGAUUAGUUUUGGCCACCAGACAAUCAAAUAACAUACUCAUAUUCAUAAUGUACCAAUGUCAUUAUGAUUCUCAUAACAACAAGACCAAACAAAGAUCGACAAUCAUACACAGGUACGUGAUCAUAUCAUAGUAAUAUCAUAUACGUAACAUAGGCAUUACGUAAUACUAAGAAAUACAAAUAGAUACACAAUCAUAUCAUAGACAUAAGAUAGGAAUAACAUAGGCAUCUAAUAUGCAUAACAACCAUAAACAGAAAGAUAAAUUGUAUUACACACAUAACAUAGGAACUUCAUACUAGUAAGUAGCAUAAACAAAAUAACAAUCAUAUCAUAGACAUAACGUAUGCACUUCAAAAUUGUAACAAACAUAGGCGGUCCUCAAAUCUCCCUUUUCUUGGGGGUUAACAGACACUAAUGGUGUUUUGUAGUUAGAGUCAGACUCCAAGCUCUAAAAGGAGGACGAUUCUUUCCGUUUCUGUUUCCACUUUUUGUUGCAUGAACCUUUCUGUACCCCACGUUGAGAUUACUGUAGCUCUGUGAGCCAUUUUAAAGAUUGAUGAGGGGAGAUGAGAACUCCUUUGUUAGUCUUCUCUAUAGGAAACUACGAGAAAGGAGGAAAACUUAUUAGAGCCUUAUAAAAUACCCUAAAAACCAAUCAUAUAUAUACGAAGCCUUAAGGAAGGUACAACAUAAAAAAAAAGUUAUCAGGUUUGGUGGUUCUAACCGUCAAUGUAUAGGUGGAUGAGGAUGAAUGUAACUGCUUUGGUGGAUGAGGACGAAGGUAACUACAACUUCACCAAGAGAGAGGCCUACAAACCUGAAGCCACCUUCAAAACUUCCACCCAGUACUUUGGAUCUACUGGCGGAUGAAUUUGAUUCCUCCAUGCAACGGCUUCACCGUCGCCGGUGAGAGGAGAGAGAUUAACAGGAAGAGGGAGACACUGAUGUUGAAGAAAGAGAUGGAGAGAAUGAAGAAAGAGAUGGAAAAGAGGGAGAGAAUGAAGAAAGUGAUGUGAAAGAGGGGUGACAGAAUAGUGAUAUGACCGGUCUGACACAAGGAUUGAAAAAAAUCGCAAAACAUUUUCAAUUUCCCAUUCUCGAUAAUGAAAUUCGAAUCUACGGAUGAAAAAAAGAAUUGAAUAUUAAAUAUAAAUAAAUAAAUUCUCGUUCCCAACCCCUAGAAGAAAGAUAGCCGUCUGAUCGAAGUCAACGAGGAGACGGAUUCCCAGUCGUCAGAUCAAGCUGUCUAGCCGUACAACUUGACUUUCCAUGCCAAUCAUUAACAUUUUUGCCCAACCGAGGCACCCUGUUUGUCUCCAGUUUGAUGAGUUCUUGCCGGUGAACCAAUCAACAAUGAAGAAGCUCCGAUGGAGGGCCCAUAAACUCACUAACAACUAGGUAAGGAUCAUGAAUGUUUUCAUAAGCUUAAUUUAAUAUUUUCUUAAGCUUAACCAGAUCUAUACAACCCUCCAUUGCCAGAUUCAAGUUUCGCCAGAGCCGCCGCCGUCUCUAUUUCUCAAUUUAAUCUCCUUUAUUUUGAAACCAGGUGAGGAGAGUUUCCCCUAAGUUAAUUUGGGGCUUCACAAUGGUUUGAAGUGGGAUUGAUCUCACCUGAGUUGACCUCCAGAACCCGAAUUUUGGAAUAUGGGUUUCGGCUCAUCGGGGAAGACGACUGGAAAACAUGUCAUGACGGUGCCUGAAGUUCCAGUGAUUUCAAUUCAGUCAUUGGACUUCUUGAGGCCAGAUCCGGUCACCUAAAUUUCCUAGAUGGCAAGCGUAAAACAAUACUUUAAAAUGUUAACAAAUUGCUUAAUAACGAGACCUAUAUAUCUGUUGUGACUCUAAACUUUAGGAUUAUGACAUUUGACCCAAAUACAUAAAAGAUAUUUAAGUGUUGAGGGUUAACCCUAAUUGAUCUUGAUAUGCUAUUCAAGGACAUUAAGGAUAAAUACAGGAUUUCUGAACUCGUAAAAGGAUUAAGGAAAAUGGAUUCUUUCGUUAUAAGGGAUCAUUAGUAAAAAGUAAUCAUGAUUUUGGAAAAGCCUAGUUUUUCCUUAUCACUUUAACAAUGGAGAUAAACUACAGAUACUUUGAGUCAUCACUCAGAUCUUUUUAUUUCAAAUCAACUCUGAGCCUAAUACCUAAAUUCCCGUAAUCAGGUUCUCAGAGUCGAAACCACUUUCAAGCGUGGAUCUCGACCUUUUUUUUGGGACCCUCACCACUUCACUUUUCUAGGCAAGUGGUUUAAGGGGGUAAAUUCUUACGUUGCUGUGUUUAGGAAUGAACCUAGAAUUAAAUGAUUACUUGAUCUAUUUGUUACUAUGUGUUUU